This 814-nucleotide ribosomal RNA is filed under the name uncultured fungus. RNAcentral's name for it is "SSU rRNA". It matches the Rfam family "Eukaryotic small subunit ribosomal RNA", at positions 564 to 1389 of the family's 1831-position model. Lineage: Eukaryota; Fungi. The record is from RNAcentral.
GUGCCAGCAGCCGCGGUAAUUCCAGCUCCAAUAGCGUAUAUUAAAGUUGUUGUGGUUAAAAAGCUCGUAGUUGAACCUUGGGCCUGGCUGGCCGGUCCGCCUCACCGCGUGCACUGGUCCGGCCGGGCCUUUCCCUCUGUGGAACCCCAUACCCUUCACUGGGCGUGGCGGGGAAACAGGACAUUUACUUUGAAAAAAUUAGAGUGCUCCAGGCAGGCCUAUGCUCGAAUACAUUAGCAUGGAAUAAUAAAAUAGGACGCGCGGUUCUAUUUUGUUGGUUUAUAGGACCGCCGUAAUGAUUAAUAGGGACAGUCGGGGGCAUCAGUAUUCAACUGUCAGAGGUGAAAUUCUUGGAUCAGUUGAAGACUAACUACUGCGAAAGCAUUUGCCAAGGAUGUUUUCAUUAAUCAGGAACGAAAGUUAGGGGAUCGAAGACGAUCAGAUACCGUCGUAGUCUUAACCAUAAACUAUGCCGACUAGGGAUCGGACGGUGUUAUUCAUGACCCGUUCGGCACCUUACGAGAAAUCAAAGUGCUUGGGCUCCAGGGGGAGUAUGGUCGCAAGGCUGAAACUUAAAGAAAUUGACGGAAGGGCACCACCAGGGGUGGAGCCUGCGGCUUAAUUUGACUCAACACGGGGAAACUCACCAGGUCCAGACACAUAAGGAUUGACAGAUUGAGAGCUCUUUUCUUGAUUUUGUGGGUGGUGGUGCAUGACCGUUCUUAGUUGGUGGGGUGACUUGUCUGCUCAUUGCGAUAACGACGAGACUUAACCUGCUAAUAGCCCGCAUUGCUCCGGCAGUGCGCUGGCUCUA